Molecule: unclassified non-coding RNA, 6884 nt
Filed under: Diabrotica virgifera virgifera (western corn rootworm)
Lineage: Eukaryota; Metazoa; Arthropoda; Insecta; Coleoptera; Chrysomelidae
Description: calcium-transporting ATPase type 2C member 1
Source: RNAcentral
AAAUUAUCUCUUCAUUCAACUUCAUCUGCAAAUAGUUCAUAGUGCUUAUAAUGUAAUAAUGAGUGUGUUUUUGAAUUGCGUCUCGGGUUCUGAAGCUGAAACGAAAGAAGAAAGUGUCGAUAAAGAAGGCGCUCAAGUGCAACCGGAAGUGACUGACAAAGACAGUGCUGGAUUAUGGUUGACAGCUAGUGAAGCUAGUAGCUUAGGUUAUGAAGAAGUUGCUGAGAGAUUACGAGUAGAUAUUAGAAAAGGUUUAGGCUGGCAAGAAGCAAAUGAUAGGCGAACGGUGUCAGGGUACAAUGAAUUUUCCGUAAAAAACGGUGACCCACCAUGGAAGAAGUACUUAGAACAAUUCAAGAACCCUCUAAUCCUACUGCUGCUGGGUUCGGCAGUAGUCUCAGCGUGCAUGAGUCAGUUCGACGAUGCUAUCAGUAUUACAGUAGCCAUAGUCAUAGUAGUAACCGUAGCCUUUGUUCAAGAAUAUCGAUCUGAAAAGUCGUUACAGGAAUUGACGAAAUUAGUUCCACCAUCAUGUCAUUGUCUAAGGGAAGGAUCUCCAGACACAUUUCUAGCAAGAGAGCUGGUUCCUGGCGACGUGGUACUCCUCAACAUCGGAGAUCGGAUACCAGCUGACGUACGUCUUUUCGAAGCUCAUGAUCUCACUUUAGACGAAAGCUCCUUCACAGGUGAAACGGAACCGGCCAAAAAGAACACCGAUUCAGUCAUCAGACCAAAUGGAGCGCAUUCGUCGAAUACCAAUAUUGCUUUUAUGGGUACUUUGGUUAGAAAUGGCACGGGAAAGGGUGUAGUUGUAAGUACAGGAACCAACAGCGAGUUUGGUUCAGUGUUCAAAAUGAUGUUAGAAGAAGAAGCUCCGAAAACACCUUUACAAAAAUCUAUGGACAAACUAGGCACUCAACUAUCCAUCUAUUCAUUCGCUAUCAUCGGUUUUAUUAUGCUCGUGGGAUGGAUCCAAGGAAAACUCAUCAUGGAGAUGUUCCAGAUCGGAGUGAGUCUAGCUGUAGCUGCCAUUCCUGAAGGUUUACCUAUUGUAGUGACAGUAACCUUAGCCUUAGGUGUGAUGCGAAUGGCGAAGAGGAAGGCCAUCGUGAAGAAGUUACCAACGGUCGAAACGUUGGGGUGCGUGAACGUCAUUUGUUCAGAUAAGACCGGUACGAUUACGAGAAAUGAAAUGACAGCUACCGUGCUCGUAACCUCCGACGGUUACAUAGCUGAGAUAACGGGGGCAGGCUACAAUGAUCACGGCCAGAUUUUAUUGCAUACCAAGUAUGAUUUUCCGGAUAAGGCUAGAGAAAGUAUAAGGCAGUUACUAGAGGUAGGAGCAGUUUGCAACAACGCGAUUAUAAAAGACGAGAUGUUACUCGGAACGCCUACAGAGGGCGCUCUUCUAGCCGCCGCCAUGAAACACGGCAUGGACAAUAUAGGCAAUCGCUACAUCCGACUUAAGGAAUAUCCAUUCAGCUCAGAGCAGAAAAUGAUGGCCGUUCAUUGCGUCAACAAAUACGAUAAUAACAAAGAAGAAAUUUUCUUCGUGAAAGGUGCUAUAGAAAAGAUUCUACCGAAAUGCACAACUUAUAACCGUAACGGAUCACCACAGCCAAUAACUGAUCAAAAGAAGGAAGAAUUCAUAGCCGAAGCACACGAAAUCGGCAAAAAAGGCUUAAGGGUUAUCACCAUGGCGAAAGGUAGUACUUUGCAAGAUCUAACCUACAUGGGAACUAUUGGAAUCUGUGAUCCUCCUAGACCAAGAGUUAGAGAAGCAAUUUCUAUUCUAAAAGAAUCUGGGGUACAAAUCAAAAUGGUAACGGGAGAUGCAGUGGACACUGCAGUCGCUAUUGCACAAUCAAUCGGCUUGGAAACUCUCCCAUCUCAAGUUUUAUCUGGAGAACAACUAGACACGUUUACCGAGAACGAAUUGGACGAAGCAACUCCCAGAGCCACGGUAUUCUACAGGGUGUCUCCCAAGAACAAAUUGUCCAUAGUAAAAUCGUUGCAGAGGACCGGUCACAUCGUAGGUAUGACUGGUGAUGGUGUCAACGACGGAGUUGCUUUGAAAAAGGCGGAUAUCGGUAUAGCGAUGGGUAAGAACGGAACGGAUGUGUGUAAAGAAGCUGCGGAUAUGAUUCUUGUGGAUGAUGAUUUCUACACGAUUAUAGCUGCCAUAGAAGAAGGAAAAAGUAUUUUCUAUAAUAUUAGGAAUUUUGUUACUUUCCAGCUGUCGACGUCAAUAGCCGCACUUUCUUUAAUAGCUUUAUCAACAAUAUUAGAUAUUCCAAAUCCACUAAAUGCUAUGCAAAUUUUGUGGAUAAAUAUUAUAAUGGACGGACCUCCAGCACAAAGUUUAGGAGUAGAACCAGUCGAGGAGGACGUCGUUAAACAAAAAGCUCGAGACACCAAAGAGCCUAUGAUUACAAAGAAACUCAUUUUAAAUGUUUUGCUUUCAGCCUUGUUUAUCAUUGGUGGCACCCUUUGGGUUUUUCAAAAGGAGCUAAGCUCCGAAGGUAUAACUGCCAGAGAUACGACGAUGACAUUCACUUGUUUCGUCUUCUUUGACAUGUGGAACGCCCUCUCUUGCCGAUCACAAACUAAGAGCGUAUUUACCAUCGGUUUGUUUUCUAACAAAAUGUUCCUGAUCGCUGUCACGCUGUCAGUUUUAGGACAAAUGUUGGUGGUGUAUUUUCCACCGCUACAGGCGAUUUUCCUAACGGAAUCGUUGACUGCUUGGGAUAUAGCAAUGUUAACAGCGCUUACGUCAUCAGUGUGGGUAUUCUCCGAAUUCAAGAAACUCCUGGAGAGGUACAUGGAGAGGCGAACUAAGGGAAAAAGGUCUCCUUUGGAGGCUUUGCCACUGUCAGAAGGUCGCAAACAAUCGUCAUAUACGCAGUGGACAUUCCGGACAGGAAAAGGAGAACUCUAGGCCCAGCUCGCUGUAAAUUUCCUAGGCAAGAACGGGAUGAUACUCAGCUCAACACCUUUAAGUGUUAUAGACGGAAAGGAGAACCCUUCUUACUCUACAUCUAAGUCUAGCUCAAUAGGUUGGAGACCACGAGCCAGAUUUUGAUUCAAAAAAAGAUGAUUCCAGCUCAACUGCUCUAAAGAUGUAUCAUUCCAAUACAAAUACACCAUUACCUUCUAUAGACUUUCGCAGACUCUAUUAAUUUGGUAUAUACUAAGAUUUAGAUACUUUCGGGAACAAUUUUACUAAUCUGAAUCAUCCAGUACGUCAAAAUGCAUUCAAUACACAUUUCUGUUAUUUAGACAAUUCAAAGGAUCUGUCAUAUUUGGCCUAUGUUAUCCAUUUUGAUGUAUUGAGUAAUUACAUUUGAGUAAAAGUUGAAGAUGUCAAUUUUUGAUUGAAAAUCCCAAUAAUUUUUGUUGGUAACGGGUUUCUGUGUAAUGAACAACUUUUAAAACGCAUGAACAAUUGUACUUUCUAUAACUUUCAGAUGACUAGUUUCAUAUCACAGUAAAUUUUUCCUGGUAAAAUUUAUGACAACGAGGUUUUGUAUCAUCCUGGAUUAGUAAAAUAGAUGAUUGUCUCAAUACUGGCACACUAAAUAUCGAACAACGAUUUGUUGACAUAUUGCUGGUCAGUUUGUCUCCGUUUAUGACGUGAUAAACACAUCAUUAUCGCCAGUUUCUUCGUAUACCUUACUUUUGAGGUAUACUCUCGUAAAAUUGUCAAUAGGAGUGCGAUCAGGUCUACUAGGAGGUUAAUUAAUGGCGUAUCUACUAGAAAUCACUUGUAUGGUGAAUAAUCCCUUUAUCGCAACAAUAAUAGGUAUAAAUAUAGUGCUUGCCAAAAGUCCCCUUCCCUCCUCGUAUCUUUUGAACGGUUUUAUUUACAAUAGUUAAAUUUGGAGGGAGGAAAUGAAAGGACGUAGGCUUCUACUAGUCAUAACAGAUGACGUAAUAGUGAUAGAUGACGUUGCAGAGUCACUAUGACAGAUAAUUUUAAAAGGGCCCUUAUUGCAAGGGAUAUGUCGUUUGAAAGGUAUUGAAAAUACCUAUUCGAUCAUACCAAUUUUGUUUGGAUUUAAGCUGAUUUUGAUGAAUAAAUUAAAUAAAUACUAAAAUUGCAGUUUCGCAUUUAAUUAUUUGAUUUAAUUUGACCGAGACCCGUCUGGUUUACACAGAUCUUUAAACUAAAUAUAUCUUUUUGUAGUGACUAUCCGUUUCGAAUGUUGGCGACCAUCAUGGCAAUCUGUACUUUGCACACUGCUGAUCUGAAAAGAUUUGUGGUUGUUGUGUUAAACCACGUCAACCAAGAAAUCCUUCGCUUUCCUUCUACUUUUCCUUGCAAGAUUAGUUGCAGCAGUCCAUAUCUUUCGCUGUUGCUCAUGAUGUGACCUAGGUAUUCGAUUUUGGCUGUUUUUAUUGUGAUUAACAACUCUUUUUCUUUUUAUACUCUUAAUAAGACGUAAAAAAGUAUCUGAGUAGAAAAUUCACCUUUUUGUAGUGGACAAAUAAAUUUGAAAUAAAAGUCCUUUCUUUUUGCUAAGUUUUGACCUCUUUUGUUCAUUUAACUUUUGUAAAAGUGUCUAUAAAGUUUCUUCUAUGUUUUAUACAGUUCUUCAUCCCUUUUAUGCAUAAUUCAUUGCACUUUUGUCAUUUACGCAAAUGAAAAUUCAAUAAAUGAUAAGUUAAUAAAAAAAAAUGAGACUAUUAUCUGGAAAGUUAUGGAAAAAUGCACAAAGAUUUUAUAUUUAUGGCUUGAAUUUACAAAAGAUCUUUUAUCAGAUUAUCACCUGUUUAUUUGCACAUUUUAAAGGACCAAAUAUUUAUUUGCAGCUAAUUGUUAAUUUAUUUAUUUAUUUUCCAGUUUUAGGAUAUUUUUGUAUCGAGCCUGUUACGUAGAUGAAUAGUUAUCUUCAUUAUAGGUCUGGAUCCAGCGUACCAAAAGAAAUUUGUUAAUACCAAGCUGAAAAUUUGUUAAUACGUUAACGGUGUCUAGUCAGACUAACUUUGAUGUAUGGGAACACUGGAACAGGAAAGUUUUAAUUGUGGAACUUGUCAUCCUGACAAGUUUAUGAUUGUGAAAACUAGCAGGUUGUUUUUAAGUUUAUUCAAUAGCAAACUUUAUAUUUAUAUGAAAAAAUGUUUGUCCGACAAAUAUGUUGGGCGUUUAAGUCCGUCACGUAAAACAUGUCAAAUGACAGGAAUUAUGUUAGUGAUAAAUAGCAGUCUGAUUUUUGCAUGAUAGUUUAAUGAAAAGAUAACAAAUCAAUUGCAAAUUAUAUCCAGCAAAAGCUAACGGUGUCUGUAGACACCGUUAAACUAUUAACAAAUUUUCAGCUUGCUAUUAAUAAACUUUUUUUGGUACGUGGGAUCCAGACCUAUUAUUUUUUGUCGAGAAAACCCAGUUCUUCUUCAGUAUAUGUAAAAGUUUCAAAAUAUACAUAUAUAUUCUAUACUGUGACAUUCUUUCAACGUUUUCAUUCUUUUUACUUUUAGAAUUUUCAAAAAUAUAUAUACGUUGUAAAAUUAGAAGAUAAGAAAGACAUUUGACAUUAUCUUUUGUUUCAUUUGAGGUUUAUAUAGGGUGUGACACCACUAGAGCAUUUAGCAACUGUAGAAAAAUAUUUGACAAGAGAAUUGUUUGAGAUUCUGUUGCUAUCAAAAAUAUUUUUGAUACCAAUAUUGAUUCAGUACACUACAGCAAUCAACGUUUAGGUUUUUCUGAUUUGACCUAUACAAUAGAUCAAAUAUUCCUAAAACGACUCUAGAAUUAUAGUUGCUUCUAUCUAAGCAGUGUAACUUGCUUUGGUAUUUAAUGCAGAAGUAACGUACUCGGCUAUUUACUGUAUUUCUAUGAUAUUUUUGCCGAGAUAUUGAAAAUUUAUUUACGCGCGCCUGCAUUCGCUGUGAGCUGACCAUGCGCCUCAGAGCGCGUUAUUAAAAGUCACAUAUCUUGGUCAAAAAUUAAGAUAAAGAACUUUUUGGAUAUGUUCUAUAACAUCCAUUAGCCAGAUUUUCAAAGUUGUGUUUAAAUCUCUUAUAAACAAAUUAGUUCGCAACUUUUUGGUGAAAUCUUUAAUGUUUAAUUGUUAUAACUUUUUCAUUAAUAAAGAUAAAGUACUUUUGCAAGGUUUUUUAAGGCUGAAACAAUUAAUUUUAAAAUAAAGUGGUUUUGAAAGUUAAUCGCACUUAUGAGAGUGGAGUCAUACUUAGAAAAUUAGGUAUUGAAUUCCUAUUUUGCAAUUGUUUCUCACGAAAUUUGUUAUAACUCCGGUUCUAACAAUCAAAUCCAAAGUACCAUUUUGGAUCGCCAUUUUGUUCAUUUUUCAAAAGGAACAUUUUUCAUUUUGGCAAAAUUAAAUAUCUCUCAUAAUUUAGGAGAUACAAUCAUUUAACAAUAAAAUUGUUAUAGUUGGUUCGCUAAACUCUGGCACGACUGACUAGUGAUUUUAAUAGGUAAUUUUUUUGUUUUUUUGGCAAAAUUGGCAAAAUUACUAACUAUUUAGUAAUUAUUAACUAUUUAGUAAUUAUUUUUUUGCUAAUUUUACCAAAUUGGCAAAAAUUACUUACUAAAAUCACUAGCCAGUUGGGUCUUAGCGAUCCGACUAUAGUAACCAAAUUAUCUGACGGGCUUUCAGCCUGGUACUACAACCUGGUAGACUAUGAUAACAGUUGAUUGCUCUAAAAAUUAUGUAGUGUUUGGUACAAUAAAAACAAUGAUAGUAUAAUGUUAGCUCUAUUGGUGUUCAUCCUUUAUAUGAGAUUAUUUGGAUUCACAAAGUAUUUUCGCAAAAAAUCAUCUUUUCUAGCAUUGUUGUAUGCUGGGAAAAUCAUGUUUUUGUUUGCUCAGUUUAAAUGUAAGUUAUGAACAAUUACAAUAAAAACAAGAAUUACAAUUAAUAAAA